Molecule: small nuclear RNA, 108 nt
Organism: Mus pahari (shrew mouse)
Lineage: Eukaryota; Metazoa; Chordata; Mammalia; Rodentia; Muridae
Source: RefSeq, a predicted model, not a curated record
GUGCUCGAUUUGGGAGCACAUAUAAUAAAAAUUUGAAUGAUACAGAGAAGAUUAGCAUGGUCCCUGCACAAGGAUGGCAUGCAAAUUCAUGAAGCAUUCCAUAUUUUU